CUACGGGUGGCAGCAGUGGGGAAUAUUGGACAAUGGGCGAAAGCCUGAUCCAGCCAUGCCGCGUGUGUGAAGAAGGCCUUCGGGUUGUAAAGCACUUUCAGUGGGGAAGAAAGCCUUGGGGCUAAUACCCUCGAGGAAGGACAUCACCCACAGAAGAAGCACCGGCUAACUCCGUGCCAGCAGCCGCGGUAAUACGGAGGGUGCGAGCGUUAAUCGGAAUUACUGGGCGUAAAGCGCGCGUAGGCGGUCUGAUAAGCCGGUUGUGAAAGCCCCGGGCUCAACCUGGGAACGGCAUCCGGAACUGUCAGGCUAGAGUGCAGGAGAGGAAGGUAGAAUUCCCGGUGUAGCGGUGAAAUGCGUAGAGAUCGGGAGGAAUACCAGUGGCGAAGGCGGCCUUCUGGACUGACACUGACGCUGAGGUGCGAAAGCGUGGGUAGCAAACAGGAUUAGAUACCCCAGUAGUC
RNAcentral lists this ribosomal RNA (464 nucleotides) under Vreelandella stevensii. RNAcentral's name for it is "partial 16S ribosomal RNA". It matches the Rfam family "Bacterial small subunit ribosomal RNA", at positions 339 to 795 of the family's 1533-position model. Lineage: Bacteria; Pseudomonadati; Pseudomonadota; Gammaproteobacteria; Oceanospirillales; Halomonadaceae. The record is from RNAcentral.